RNAcentral lists this ribosomal RNA (486 nucleotides) under uncultured bacterium. RNAcentral's name for it is "partial 16S ribosomal RNA". It matches the Rfam family "Bacterial small subunit ribosomal RNA", at positions 28 to 507 of the family's 1533-position model. The record is from RNAcentral.
GACGAACGCUGGCGGCGUGCUUAACACAUGCAAGUCGAACGCUGAAGACCUGGCUUUUGUUGGGUUGGAUGAGUGGCGAACGGGUGAGUAACACGUGAGUAACCUGCCCUCUUCUUUGGGAUAACGCCCGGAAACGGGUGCUAAUACUGGAUAUUCAUUGAUCUUCGCAUGGGGGUUGGUGGAAAGGUUUGUUCUGGUGGGGGAUGGGCUCGCGGCCUAUCAGCUUGUUGGUGGGGUGAUGGCCUACCAAGGCUUUGACGGGUAGCCGGCCUGAGAGGGUGACCGGUCACAUUGGGACUGAGAUACGGCCCAGACUCCUACGGGAGGCAGCAGUGGGGAAUAUUGCACAAUGGGCGAAAGCCUGAUGCAGCGACGCCGCGUGAGGGAUGGAGGCCUUCGGGUUGUAAACCUCUUUCGCUCAUGGUCAAGCCGCAACUGUGGGUUGUGGUGAGGGUAGUGGGUAAAGAAGCGCCGGCUAACUACGUG